This 681-nucleotide long non-coding RNA is filed under the name Dromaius novaehollandiae (emu). Its description in RNAcentral is "lncRNA (ENSDNVG00000007142.1)". The record is from RNAcentral. Lineage: Eukaryota; Metazoa; Chordata; Aves; Casuariiformes; Dromaiidae.
AAAAAUUAUAAAAAGGAAACCCCACCCCACCGUCUGGACUUCUGCCUAACUGUCGGUGCACUGGUGGAGCGCCUCCGGAUUUCGGAGAAUACCGGUCUCGGUGUAUCGCUGUACAGUGUUUUCGCCACGAUUCGGUGCAUUUUACUUUUUGAAACGGCUUUUGUUCAAGUUGCAGGAAACCCGCUGCAUCGGUUAUUUUAGUCCUGACGCCAGCUAAUGGCGUUACAGCCUUCAAUUUCACAGUGGGGAAAAAUUACAGUGUUUGUUAUUUACUUUCUAUCUGCCAUUUAAAAUGCAACUUCAAAGCCUGCUGUGUUCAAGGAAUAUGGGAAAUUACACCGAAAAUGAGAUUAAAAUAGAGGAGAGUGAGUUGGAAAUGUUGUUUUUUUAUUUAAGGAAUCUGUUGCUGCGUGUGACACCUCUUGCAAGCUCCCAGAGAGAAUUGAUGGAGCAUACAGCUAGGGAAUGGGAUGCCAGAGAAGCACAGAGGAAGAAAUCAUGCAAUCGCCAGGAUGGGAAGGGACCGCAUCCAUUGGAUAUGGGACGAGAUCACUCUGCAACCCUUGUGGAUUCUCCUUCUUCUAGAGGGGAAUUAUAGUUAUGGAUUUAUUGUCCCGGUGCAGCACUUCCACCACCAGCAGCAGCAGCAACAGCAGCAGCUUUCUGACUCUCUUCGGUGAC